Haplochromis burtoni (Burton's mouthbrooder) is the source of this 527-nucleotide non-coding RNA. The record is from the annotation of a RefSeq genome assembly. NCBI's taxonomy places the organism in Eukaryota, Metazoa, Chordata, Actinopteri, Cichliformes, Cichlidae.
CUGAAAGAGCAUCAGACGCAGCAGUGUUCACAAUGAAGGGAAUGAAAAAUAUAAUAAUCUGGGGUUUAUUAUUUGUUCUGACUAUUCAUGGUGUUUGGUGUGAUAUCAGACUGGACCAGCCUCCCUCUGAGGACAAAAGACCUGGAGAGACUGUGAAGAUUUCAUGUGUCACAUCUGGUUAUACAAUGACAAGUUACAGCAUUAACUGGAUACGACAGAAACCUGGGAAAGCUUUGGAGUGGAUGGGGUGGAUAAACACAGAUACGACUGUUGCUAGCUACGCCAGUGCCUUUCAAAACCGAUUCACCUUUACUCAAGAUGUUCCGAGCAGCACUCAGUACCUCGAGAUCAAGAGUCUGACAGCUGAAGAUUCUGCUGUUUACUUCUGUGCUCGACUCCACAGUGACUGAAAAUAGAAGAGCAGCUGUGCAAAAACCUCAACUAGCCACGCGACUUUGAUGAGCUCUGCACAAGCAAAAUGACUAUUUUGGAUCCAUACCUGAUUUUACUAGAACAUGACAGUUAUC